AGAACGUGCCUGUCAGCUCUUCCUGCUCUGUUGUAGAACUGCGAUCGCUCAGGGAGUCAGAGGCAAACCUGGUGGCCCAGUGGCAAGCACAGCCGUGGUGGCCACAGCUCUCCUUACUACUACUACUUGGAGUUUAUUAUGAGGCCCCUUGAGGCUGUGCCCUGUGUUAGGUACAUCCAAGGUUCUGGUUCAUCCCUUAGGAAGAUUUUGUGUCUGAGAAGGCAGCGUGAAGUCUGGCAACACUUUGCCGAGCGUGAAUUCGCCCAGUUGACGGGCUGUGGAAAAGGGGGUUAGUAGAUGAGUGUGGGAAACACUGGGUUCAAGAAAGUUAGUUGGAUUUUUUCAAUCGCAGGACUUCUCAAGAGCUUCACUGUGCUAAUGCGCAGUGUGACUCCUAAGGAGGGCUGCCAACAGGCAGUUGCCCAAUCUUUUUUUUUUUUUUUUAAAUUUGUUUUAGAGCCAGGGUUUCACCCUGUCACCCAGGCUAGUCUCAAACUUCUGGGCUCAAGCAAUCCUUCCACCUCUGCCUGCCAAGUAGCUGGGAAUAGAGGUGUAUGCCAGCACACCUGGCCCCAAACCAUUUUUUUUUUUUUUUUUUUGAGACAGAGUCUGGCUCUGUCACCCAGGCUGGCAUACAGUGAUGCAGUCUUGGCUCACUGCAACCUCUGCCUCCUGGGUUCAAGUGAUUCUCCUGCCUCAGCCUCCCGAGUAGCUGAGAUUACAGACGCCCACCACCACACCCAACUUACUUAUUUAUUUUUUCCCCGAGAUGGAGUCUUGCUCGAUUGCCCAGAUCUGGAGUGCAGUGGCGUGAUCUCGGCUCACUGCAACCUCUGCCUCCCAGGUUCAAGCAAUUCUCCUGCCUCAGCCUCCCAAGUAGCUGGGAUUACAGGUGCACCACCAUGCCUGGCUAAUUUCUUUUUUUUUUUUUUUUUUUUUGAGAUGGAGUCUUACUCUGUAGCCUAAGCUGGAGUGCAGUGGCACAAUCUUGACUCACUGCAACCUCUGCCUCCCAGGGUGAAGCAGUUCUCCUGCCUCAGCCUCCCAAGUAGCUGGGACUACAGGCGCAUGCCAUAAUGCCCAGCUAAUUUUUUUUUUUUGUAUUUUAGUAGAGAUGCAGUUUUACCUUGUUGCCCAGGCUGGUUGCAAACUCCUGAGCUCAAGCAAUCUGCCCGCCUCAGCCUCCCAAAGUGCUGGGAUUACAGGCGUGAGCCACUGCCCCCGGCCUAAUUUUUGUAUUUUUAGUAGAGAUGGGGUUUUACCCUGUUGGCCAGGCUGGUCUCGAACUCCUAACCUCAAGUGAUCCACCCACCUCAGCCUCCCAAAGUGCUAGGAUUACAGGUGUGAGCCACUGUGCCUGUCUUGUGCCUGUGUUCUUCUAGAGCAAAGCUCCCCACUGGUGCAUGGAGGCGGCAUCACAUUUGUGUUCAGAUAGGGAUCCCCUCAGUCAUCAGGGCCCCUGGGCAGGGUCCCCAGAAGCUCGCCACUGGCCUUGGCAGCGUGCUGCCGAUACUUUCUUUUGCGGUGGCACGAAGAUGACCUGAAGCUCUGCUGUAGAGCAAGUGUUCAUGGAAACUGAGAAUGAAAAUUCAAAGUGAGACCAGCGCACGCACCGGUGUCUUCUUCUGGCCUCUGACCCCUGUCUCAUCUCUUUGCCAGGCUGGAAGUGCACCUUGUUGGAGGCUUCAGUGACGACAGGCAGUUGUCACAAAAACUCACUCAUCAACUUCUUAGUGAAUUUGACAGGCAAGAAGAUGACAUUCACUUAGUGACAUUAUGUGUGACAGAAUUAAAUGACCGGGAAGAAAACGAAAACCACUUUCCAAUAAUAUAUGGCAUUGCUGUCAACAUUAAGACUGCAGAGAUUUACAGAGCCUCCUUUCAAGAUCGGGGUCCGGAGGAGCAGCUGCGUGCUGCGCGAACUUUAGCAGGAGGACCAAUGAUUAGCAUUUACGAUGCAGAGACAGAACAACUUCGUAUAGGACCGUACUCCUGGACACCAUUUCCACAUGUGGAUUUCUGGUUGCAGCAAGAUGACAAGCAAAUACUAGAGAAUCUUUCUACUUCACCUCUGGCUGAGCCGCCCCACUUUGUUGAACAUAUUAGAUCUACCUUGAUGUUUUUAAAAAAACACCCAUCUCCAGCUAACACACUGUUUCCUGGAAAUAAAGCCCUACUCUACAAAAAAAAUGAAGAUGGCUUGUGGGAAAAGAUCUCUUCUCCAGGAAGCUAAAAAACAUGAAUUACCAAAGAAAGCACCUUCUUGGCCUGACAGACCAUUGGUGGGGCUGGCACGAAUCCAGAUUUGGAUCCUACACCCGUUGGGUCUUAGGCCUCCUUCCCUCCUCAGUGUCUUUCAAAUGACUUUCAAAAUAAAACCUUAUUUUGGCAAAGGC
This 2396-nucleotide small RNA is filed under the name Pongo abelii (Sumatran orangutan). Its description in RNAcentral is "retained intron". Lineage: Eukaryota; Metazoa; Chordata; Mammalia; Primates; Hominidae. The record is from RNAcentral.